AGUCGGGGGUGGUUACUGUGGAGGAUGCAGGGAGGCCAGAAAGCACACUGAUUGAGUCUGUGUUUAGGGGCUGCUGCGAUUAAAACUUGAAUCUAAUACUGAUAGUUUUCAAAAUGAGAAAAGAUAUCCAGGAUAUGCAGUGGAUGCACAAGUGAUGUGUGACCAGAAAUGCCACAAAUUCCACAGAAAAUUGAGAGGUUAUGCUGUGUAGGUCCAACAAGGCAGUUUUCAUCAAUAUGAAUGUCAGAUACUCACCA
Long non-coding RNA from Ornithorhynchus anatinus (platypus), 257 nucleotides. RefSeq lists it as uncharacterized. The transcript is spliced from 2 exons. The record is from RefSeq and is a predicted model, not a curated record. Lineage: Eukaryota; Metazoa; Chordata; Mammalia; Monotremata; Ornithorhynchidae.